This is a non-coding RNA of Rhopilema esculentum, 5889 nucleotides long. The record is from RefSeq and is a predicted model, not a curated record. Lineage: Eukaryota; Metazoa; Cnidaria; Scyphozoa; Rhizostomeae; Rhizostomatidae.
CAGAUCUAGAAAGGAAACAUGACGUUAUAAGAUUUAUCUUAGUACAGUCGGCAGAUCAUUUGUUUAAGGUCCUCAGAAAGAUCAAGGUCGUUUGCUUAAGGUCAAAGAUUUCUUCAACAAAUCAUAGAGAAGAAUAUCUUGAUUAAUAUUCAUGCCCUUGUUCAAAAUCAAAUUUUUAUGCUUAUUUCGGUACCGUUAAAACAACAUCGAUAUCUAGCUUUUCCAUUAACUUGUUAUUUUGCUUGCUUUGAUAUCUGCUUUACAGUCUUGGUCUGAAUAUAGACAAUCUGCCAAUUGUUCACAAUCAAGACAUAAAGCUUUACAAAUGAAUAGAAGCCUUGGAUACAAAAAUGCUUUCAGAAGGGAAAUGCAGAAAAUUAGCAAAACAAAGCAAGGGAGUGGGAAAAAGCUUGAUGAUUGUUCACAAAUUUCACAGACCUGGCUAAAGAUGUUAAUGGCAAACAUUCAUCGCUGCCUCCGCGACACUUAUUUCCAACAUAUUGUAAGUGAUAACAAAAACAAAAAAUUAGCAUCAAAAUAGUUGUUCCAAAGAUACCUCAUGAAGAACAUGGAUGGAAGUAUGAACAAGAGUAUACGAUUUCACCAAUUUGGUUCACCGGAUCACAGUUACAAUGAGUGGCCUUGACUAGGGGAAGGAAAGAGUUUCGUACUAAAGGAAUCUGCUGGAAAGGAAACUCGAGAAAUGGAAAGACUUGAAGAUGAAACUGGGUACAAUGCCGACAAUGAGAAUGGUCUAAACGAAAACGAUGAUGUCUUGAAUAAUGAUGUCUUUCACCUGAUGUCUCCGACGCUAACGAUAAUUAGAGAGGUUGAGAGGUUUCUGAUUUACGUCGUCGGAUGGCUCGUGUGGCGAAUGGCUGCCAUUGAAAGAUAAAGCAUGUGAAAGAUAAGUGUAAUCUUCUUAAUUUGAUUUUUUUAAUCUUUAAAAAAUGCUCAUUACGCGCAGGGGCGGAUCUAAGCAACAAUUAUUGGGGGGUUGUUAGACACUAAUUUUGGUGCCACACCCUUCAGGUCACUGGUAAAUUAUGGAAACGCCCAUUUUUAAAAUUCCGUGUUUAACUUCAAGGUAAAGACCAUAAGAAGCAGAGGAGAAACUCUUUGCUAACCACACCCUUAAGAAUUAAGGAAAAAUCCUCAUUUUGCACAAGCGUUUGGAAAAGCUAUGGUUUUUUUACGUGGCGAUUUCGCUUUAUACAACGUCAUAUCUUGCUUUUUGUGGCUGACCCCAUUCUACAACUGCCUAUUUCCUUGACAAUUCAUCUAACGCUUACAUUCUGAAUUGUGUCAGGCAAGGAUGUACUACGUGUAAAAACUGAUUCUCCGCAAUUUUAAUCAAAUAUCUAAAAAUAACAAACAGGAUUCAAAUGUUUUAAACUAAUUCCGUUCGCCUUGGAGCAAAAUCCCCGACAAGAAUUUCAGAAUCCAAUUUUUUUCAAGGAUUGAAGCGCUUUAGCAUUUUAGUUUCUAUCUUAUCGGGAUUAUCUAAAGAACAUGAAAGACUUUUCUAUUUAAAUCCUAUAACGUGGGACAAAUUGUUGAACAUUCUGUAGAGUUAUAAAUGAGGGUCCCUGUGCGAGCGAAGCGAGCAGAAAAUUUUUGCGACGACGCCCUUCAGAUUAGCUUGAAAUACAUUUCAGAAUAUUUCUUACAGUCGUUUGCAGUCUUUAAAAACGUUUUAAUAUUGUCUGAAAUAUAGAGUUCCCUUUAAGGUACUAAUUCUAUUGCAGAUUUGUACUAUUCUCAGACAUUUCUGAGCGGCCGCUCCCCUACCCUGGAUGCCAGAGCCUUUAGCAAUUCCUUCCCCCGUUCUUCAUCCUUUGGCUCUCUGAGGCUCUGGCACCCAGGGUACCGCUCCCCUUGCCUCCCCCCGCUACGCUACUGAUAAGAAGAUAAAUGCUGAUAUUAAGGAGAUAAAUCAAGUAAAAUCUUGGCGUUAAUUUGUUACUGCUGACUACCAAAAAAUGGCUUUUGCCGAAGGAGACAGAAAUAUUGGGGGAUGUCGCACCCCCUUCUCCCCCCCCCCGCUAAGUCCGUCCCUGAUUACGCGAGAACCUCACAUGCAAAAAAUAUAAGUGGAUGGACGAUUAGAAUUUAGAAAAUUGCAUUAUUACCCCCUGGAAAUGACGUCAUCAAUCAUCAAAACUGAUUUUUUCUAAUAAAAAUGCACAUCAAUAAAAUUGAUAAAAUUUCAGUCAACAUAAAUGACGAAAAUUAGCCCCUUAAUAUAUACAUUUUUGUUUGUGAUGAAUGUUUGCCUGAUAAUAUCUAAGACUAAAAUACUGAUGACGUCAUCAUUUACGACCCCCUACAUUGGUAAAAAAAUUAAAAGGCUUGAUGUACGUCGCAUGUUCUAAAUAGCUAAAAUUUAUAGAGAAAUUUAAGGCUAUUUGGUUUUGUGAUUGAUUUUUCACCUAAAAAUGGAUAUCGUUAAUGGUGACUUCAUCAUUUACUAGCUUCCCUGGGAAGUUACAAAAAAGUCAAAUAUGCUAAAUACCCUUUAUAUGCUAAAUAAUCAAAAUUACUUGAGAGAUUUAAGGUUAGGUACUUGGUUAGAUUUUUGUAAUAAUCUCCCUGUUUAAGUGCCUCGGAGUGAGGAGCAACAUAAAUCGCCUUUUUUUUGAAUUCUGGCUAAAGCAACAUAGGAAUUACUUUUACCAAUGUACCAAUGCUCCGCCGAACCCCAAUGUAACUACAGAGAACGCAAUUGCAAACUCUUGGUUGCGUAAAUGCAUUUUUAAUACCAAAUAAUCAUAUCACAAAAAAUACUGUUCCAAGAUAUCACCCUUCCUUCAACAUAUUCUCAGUUCCAAGAUAUUACCCUUUCUUUACCCUGGGUGCCAGAGCCUCAGAGAGUCAAAGGAUGAAGAACGGGGGAAGGAAUUCUCCUUCGCAUUUACUUUCCCCCGUUCUCCAACUUUUGACUCUCUGAAGCUCUGGCACUCAGGGUACCCUUUCUUUAACAAUUCAGUUUUAACACAAAAUCGACAGCUUAAGAGUCCCCCUCCCUGGCGCUGCCUUUGCGAUUACAUUUUUUUAGAUACUUUUUUCUAGAUUUUGAAUCAAUCAAUUGAAUCGAAAUUCCCUUCUCAUUCGCUUAUCGUAAAUCUUUGAUAAGAGUGGCAAAAUUUCUGCGAGUGGUUAGCAAUGUAUCUAUUUGUCGAAAUUAUGAGCACGAAGAGCUCAACCAAUAUCAUUUAGGGCUUUGUAGGUUGUUACAAGCAAAAAAUACGUUUUUAUGCUUUUGGCAUACGUAAGAUUAACAAGCGUGCCUUGAAAAGCUUUCUUACACUUAUGCGCAAUUUUCCACACGCUAAUAAGUUUAUUCCUGGGUAGACGAGUCUUUUAGUUUCCUACUGUUUAAGGCUAUUAUUUCAUCCAUUUAUCUGAGCCAACGAGUAAAUCCAUCAUUUCCACAUACGCAUUUGAGUGAAUGUUUAUGGAAAAAAUUGCAUCUCAUGGCGCUUACAGCAUUUAAUCAAACUGUAUCACUAAUCCAACUAUAUUUUUUUAACAACAAUUUCUCCGUAGAAAUUUUAUUAACAGUGAAAUGGAUUAUCAUAUACACACUUAAUGAUAACAAAGUAAGCGCAAAUUGUAGCGUGAAAGUUAAAGGAAAUUAGUUGCUGAAACUAACUUUUAUGGGUUUUGCGUUUUUGUGUGAAUCCAAGAGCAUCUUUUUGCAAAAAACCAAUUAUAGGUUAAUCUGCAAAAGUGGACUAAAGCAUCUUUUGAGCUCCUCAUAACAAUAAUUUCAAUUUAUAAAGUUUUCUUUAAUCUUUAAGAAUUUUAAAAGACUUGCUUGAAAAAUAUGGCUAAGUAUGUCAAAUACCUUACAUCCUUGAAGUUUCGCUAAUUGGAAGUACUUCUGGCUCAAAUAUAAAUUAUCGCCAAACAUCCAGACCUAUUAUCAGUGAAACUAAUUGUAUAUCGGUGAAAAAUAAUUUUCCCCGCAAAUCAAUUUCCUUUUGGCAAAUAAUUGUUCUUAGUGUAGUGUAGUAACGUAUGUAUUAAUAUAAAGUGUUUAGGACCGUCAUGUGACGACCACUGCAUUCGGAAAAAAUACAAGGUAUACACCCUUUCUUUAAAAACAAUUUUAUAAGAAAAAGAGCCUCCAAAUUGGUCAAAAUCUUAGAACAAAUUAAGAACAAGCUGAGGCUGAGCUACUAUAAAAUGCAAUUUUCAACAACGUUUUAUCUCAAAAACGAGGAUAUUUAGCCAUGUGUGGGUGCUUUUCUGGCGAUUAUUCAAUUUUUUCGGCAAAUGAAGUUAGUCUGAACACCUCCUUAGACAAAAAAAGCUAGCAAUCACACUGCUUACACCCUAUCAAUUUAAGAGCAAAUUAAGAACAAUUCAACCUCAGAUUUUCGAAAACUAUAAAAAAAUCAUCCAGAACCUAAAUUUAUUGGUUGUUAUAAAAAAGAGUGUACUGCGGAUACAAGACGCUAUAGUAAGUUAUAAGGCUGAAAUGUUCAAUCGUCUGCAUCUUUGAGAUUUCCAUUUUCUGGCGCCUCAUAGCCGUUAGCUUGCUUGUUAUGGCAAUUUAUUUGCAAUAUUUUGAAAAAGAAAGUUGACUAUGACCAACCAUGACCAACAAAGAAAAAGAAAAACUUCCCAAUCAAUUCUAAGGUCCCCUCCCCCCCUCCAAUUUGUCCAUCCUCGCCACAGAUUUUAUUGGAGAUGUGAAAAUAACGUAAUUGAUUUUAACUGUUCAUGUGCCUAUGAUGCAGAUUUUUGAAAGCCAGAACCUCCGAAUAAAUAUCUCACCAACAAUUUAGUAUGGUGGCUCAUAGCUGCUGCCACCAUUAAAUAUUGUACGAAUGUGAAUGUGAAAUAUGCAAAAAGAUUUGCAAAAAGUGAUGGAAAUGAUAAAACCCUAUUAGAUCACUUCUAUCUUUUUUUAAAAGUUGACACUGACACACAACUUCCAAGUGAAAUACAACUUCCAUUGGAAUUAGAAUAGAGUAUGAAAAAUUUAGCUUCAUGUUUCCUGGGGAAAAAUGCAUUCUUACUCCCUACUAUUUACAGCCCUGGACUUGCCUGCGGCCCUUUGACCUAGGCAGGCGAUAUCUGAUAUUCAAGAGUUUUGCGAUCAAAUCACUUUAGGUAAUCUUAGCACUGUUUCACAUGUCUUGCCGUGCCGUACCGUGCUGCACUGUACCGCAUCGCGCAUUACCGUGCCGUGCCGUCAAAUGAACUUUGGUUAAACUGUUGUUUAUGUUCUCUUAUCUUAUCUUGAUUUUAACUGUUGUGGAAAUCCUUGCAUCAUGAACCUGGUUUAGAGGGAGCCUUAUGAAAAUCUCACAAAAUUUGAAAAAUUAAUUCUAAAAACUAUUUGAAAAUAUGUGACAACAUAUAACAAUAGCAGCCUAUCUUCAGCUGUAGUUGCAAAGAUAUUGAUUGUUACUGUCAAGCAAUACAUUCCUGAAUAUGUUGCGGUAGGACACCACUGGAAUUAGUACCAGGCUGACUGAGACGCGGGCCUCUUGCCGCAGAGCACGCGACGGGCGAACCGAGAGCAAAUUUGGUUCCAUCCUAGUCGCGCUAUUCCCAACUAGUUGAAAAUAGGGGAGAUUAUGUCAGUGCAUAGUGCAAUCGUAUUGGACAAAUGAUUGCGCGAUUGGUGACAAAUGAUUUCCAUUAAACGUAUUCAACGCUAAUUGUGCAGUCCUGAUGUCUCACAAGACACGGCGAAUUAGUAUAUUAGCCGCAAAAAUAGCAACUUAAUAGCAAACCAAUCAAUAAGAAUUUGCAUUCCACCUAGAGGUACUGUGCUAGACAUGCGGUUACGCUGCGAGUUUUAGAGACAGGUUCCGUAUUAGACGCUCUGUGUAAUAAACAAAGCUUAAGAAAAAUAUUCUUACUUUUGCU